CACCACGCCGGCGUGUGCACGUGCGUGCAGUUGUCGUCCAUCAAAGUGCUGCCCAUUUUUUGUUUUGACCCGCCUUCAUCUAUCCUUGAGUCGCGUGCGGAUAGCACGUGCGCGGUUGUCGAACGAAAAUGCGCAGCAUCUCAUCAUGCGCAUGCCGCUGCUACUAGCACGGCAACCAACCCGGCGCCUUGGCGCCACUCGGUGGCGCCCAGCAGCACAUCUGCGAUGCUCUUCGCCGCCGUUUUCGACGCCACAGUGUCUGCUCAGCACCUCUGCUGCGCACCGCACCUCACAACCUCCGCUGGAACGGCAGUACCAGGCCCCUCCUCCUCGCGAACCUCCCGUACCAUCGCCCGCGUGUUCGCCACCCUCCAUCCGGCCAGCGGUUCACGCAAGAAACAACGAGCUGCUGGAACGCUUGGUGGAGUGCAUCCCGCGGGCACCAGUGUGCAUCCCAGUAAGCUCGCUUUACUUGCUCUUCACAAUCGACGGCGCCACGACUCCAGUGCUCUUCGAGUCGGCGUGGAAUUUUAUCAACUCCGCGAGCGAGACGACGUCAACAGCCGUGGCAGCGCCGAAGAGCUCUGCAAAGGAAAAGAGGGCCGGCCAGCUAGCAUGUGCGCGGCCCUCUCCCAUCGAUGCGACGGCUUUUUCAGCGCUGUCAUGAGAAGCUUCCUUGAAUAUGCAGCGGCGUCGCAAUUAUGUGCAGGAGACUUCACGGACGCUGUCGGAGCUUCUUCUCUGUAUCACCGGAGAGAAUUUGGCGGAUGCGCUGCGGUCCUCCGUCAGCGGCCGCGGCAGCGUGCGAGCGCACGGCAUAUACAUGCCUUUUGAUAACCUGUACGCCACCGUUGCGUCGACGGCCGAAGAAGUCGGGCGCGCGCUUGCGGCGCUGUACGCACCUCUGGCACCUGAAAAGCGCGGGCAGCUCGAGAGCAACCUUGCAAAGGUGAGCUGUGGCGCCGCACGGAGUCCCAGCGACGCCGGGAGUGCCGCGGGCGACGGGGAUGACUUCCGCUACGCAGAUAUGUGCUGCCCGCCGAUGGCGACUCGCCGACUGGCGGACAGCGCCUCGGCACUCCCAAAAGGCCCGCAGAGGUUCGCGGAACCUUACGGGCGUUGGUCUGCGGUCAAGAAGGCCUUCUUCGCGCCAUCCACAAGGGCGUGUCUCGGCGGCCCAGAAACCUACCUGCCUUACUUUGGCGAUGCGUUCGAGCCUCCGCCGCCGCCGGCGUUGCCGGUCGCGGCAACCCGCCGUCACGGAGCUGCCACGUCGUUCAGUCCAUCAGCGCUGGCGGCCAUGCUGUCAACGCACUUCGUGCCAGUGGAGGCGCUGCUGAAGCAGCUGCCACCCGGGUACACGUUCGAGCACGUGCGCCGCGUAUUUGGCGAGACGAUGGCGCUGGGGUUGGUGGAGCUGGAGAACGGGACGUACUUGCGGUUUUAUGGCGGAAAGGACGGCGAAGGCUUCACUCAGAGGGAACGCACUGCGUGUGUUGGCGUUGAUGAGGACGCACAAGCAUCAACGAAUGACGGCAGCAACGGUGGUCGCUUCGACGACGACGAUAGGGAGCCAGCAGCGCCUGGGACCUCCGCUCUGGCGCCACAGAGUGGCGAAGCGGUGCAUCCGUACAUCGCCACCUACGAGCUGGAUCCGUACUUGCUCUACUCGUUUCUGCCGCGCUUCCCUCGGCUGUUUCAAUGGAUCCCCCUGUACGCUGUCGUCGAGCACGCCCCGCCGGCGGUGAAAGCGGCGCUGCUGCCGCUGUGUCAGCGCUCCAACUUGCUUUACUUUGCCCAGCAGCAGCACCGAAUGCAGUCCACGGCGCAGAAGGACGGCGCCGUCUGCCUCAGCUUUCCGCCGGUGCGCUCGCUGCGCGCGGAAACCACACCGCUGCCGCGUGAGUUAGCGGAGGUGCAGCGCCUUCUGCAGACCCGCGGGCUUGUGUACGUGUCGGAGAUGGAGGCCGGGCUCGCGUGUCGAAUCAGCGAUGGCGCAAAAACGAAACAUCAUCGCCUACUUUGGAACGCUGCGACGGUUUUUGUAUCAGCACGAGAGCGUGUUUCAGCUUUCUGUCGUGCCAAGUACCAACGGCCGCUCCGCCGUCAUGAUAGCCGGCACACCACCGGCAGCGCUGCCACGCUCGUCGGCACCGACGCGUGCAGGAGCUGCUACGCAGGAGCACACACAAGAGGUGCCGACGCGCCGCGGCUUUGGGUUUGCAAUUGAAGUGCCGCCGAUAUCCACCUUCGUGGAGGGCGACGCAGUGUCCACGGUGAUGUUGUUCGGCAAGGGCAUCAACGCACUUGACGCGAAUGGAUUUCCUCACUGGUUGGCCUCGGCGGACCUCGCUGUCAUGGGCGAGGGGCAUGCGAUGAUGCAGCAUCGCAGCGGUCUCUCACCCGAGGAACGGCUGCAGAUCACCUCGACGCAGAAGCGCUCGAGCCAGAAGAUCCGUCGUCGCAUGGCUUUGGCCGCUAACCCAAACUCGCCAUACACGGCCCCCGAGGUGUUAUUGGACACCAUUCUGCGGUAUCUGCCGCCCACACGGCACAUCGGACUGCGCAACCUCCUACAGGCGCUGCCACCGGCGAUCACCGACUUUCUCCCUACAGAUCCGAUCCGGCUGCUCCGCAACGCGCCGACAAAGGUGCAGCUGUUCGAGUUUCGUGAGCAGAAUAACAUUCGUGUGAUGCGGCCGGGACUGCCGCUGCCGGACGGACGGCUGCGCAGCACCUACAGCGUCGAUGAGUGGUUGCACGUGCUGGCGACUGAACUGCCGCCAGGGCGGUCGCGCAACUAGAUCGAUCUCGUUGGCCGCCUUCGGUAUGGCGCACGCGAGACGAUACGCUUGCAGCAUCACCACUUGAUCAACGUGGUGGAGCAAUAUCCGCAGUACUUUGUUGUUGUUUACGCACAUGCCGAAUCGGCGAAGAAGUUUGCACGCGUUCAGCUCAUCUAAAGCCCACCACCCGCGACUACACUUUCGGACGACGAAUGGGACGCGAAGAGGACUACGGUUUUGGAUGACAUGUUGCAGGCGGCUGCUCGGGAGGACCACGCCAUCCUUGCGGGAGACGCUAAACCUGAAGCCGAUGCCGUAGCACUCCACCGACGACAGCAAGGCAAGCCACGAAUGGACGGCGCCUGGAGAUGCUGAUGCAAAUGCCGCUGUGCAAACGGCCCUCCUUCUCCGUCACUGUGGCUGUACCGUUGCUUGUGGCUGUGAUGGUGGGGAGGCUGCAGUGGCUCUUUUCGCCUCUGUGUUGGUCUCUCCUAGGGACGACGUCUACGUAGGCGUAGGAGCGAAGACAACAGGCUCCAGCCACGGAGUAAGAUUGAUGAGAAGCGAUGUGCACGUGUGCGUGCCUGAGUACCCACUUCGCAGUCUGCUCUUUGCCUCCUCCGCAUCCACUCCCGUGCCUCGCCAAGGGGGGGGAGGCGGCAAGAGCUUGGAUGAUAUUGGUUAGGACGCUGCGACCUCCUCCUGUUUUGCGGCCAUGGUGUGCCCCUCCUC
Molecule: unclassified non-coding RNA, 3518 nt
Filed under: Leishmania donovani
Lineage: Eukaryota; Euglenozoa; Kinetoplastea; Trypanosomatida; Trypanosomatidae
Description: gene:LdHU3.14.1180(CDS-product:hypothetical_prote in)
Source: RNAcentral